GAUGAACGCUAGCUACAGGCUUAACACAUGCAAGUCGAGGGGCAUCAGGAAGAAAGCUUGCUUUCUUUGCCGGCGACCGGCGCACGGGUGAGUAACACGUAUCCAACCUGCCCUUUACUCGGGGAUAGCCUUUCGAAAGAAAGAUUAAUACCCGAUGGCAUAAUGAUUCCGCAUGGUUUCAUUAUUAAAGGAUUCCGGUAAAGGAUGGGGAUGCGUUCCAUUAGGUUGUUGGUGAGGUAACGGCUCACCAAGCCUUCGAUGGAUAGGGGUUCUGAGAGGAAGGUCCCCCACAUUGGAACUGAGACACGGUCCAAACUCCUACGGGAGGCAGCAGUGAGGAAUAUUGGUCAAUGGGCGGUAGCCUGAACCAGCCAAGUAGCGUGAAGGAUGAAGGCUCUAUGGGUCGUAAACUUCUUUUAUAUAAGAAUAAAGUGCAGUAUGUAUACUGUUUUGUAUGUAUUAUAUGAAUAAGGAUCGGCUAACUCCGUGCCAGCAGCCGCGGUAAUACGGAGGAUCCGAGCGUUAUCCGGAUUUAUUGGGUUUAAAGGGAGCGUAGGUGGACUGGUAAGUCAGUUGUGAAAGUUUGCGGCUCAACCGUAAAAUUGCAGUUGAUACUGUCAGUCUUGAGUACAGUAGAGGUGGGCGGAAUUCGUGGUGUAGCGGUGAAAUGCUUAGAUAUCACGAAGAACUCCGAUUGCGAAGGCAGCUCACUGGACUGCAACUGACACUGAUGCUCGAAAGUGUGGGUAUCAAACAGG
This 758-nucleotide ribosomal RNA is filed under the name uncultured bacterium. RNAcentral's name for it is "bacterial SSU rRNA". It matches the Rfam family "Bacterial small subunit ribosomal RNA", at positions 28 to 776 of the family's 1533-position model. The record is from RNAcentral.